CGUGAUCCGGGUUGCGGACAGUGUCUGGUGGGUAGUUUGACUGGGGCGGUCUCCUCCUAAAGAGUAACGGAGGAGCACGAAGGUUGGCUAAUCCUGGUCGGACAUCAGGAGGUUAGUGCAAUGGCAUAAGCCAGCUUGACUGCGAGCGUGACGGCGCGAGCAGGUGCGAAAGCAGGUCAUAGUGAUCCGGUGGUUCUGAAUGGAAGGGCCAUCGCUCAACGGAUAAAAGGUACUCCGGGGAUAACAGGCUGAUACCGCCCAAGAGUUCAUAUCGACGGCGGUGUUUGGCACCUCGAUGUCGGCUCAUCACAUCCUGGGGCUGAAGUAGGUCCCAAGGGUAUGGCUGUUCGCCAUUUAAAGUGGUACGCGAGCUGGGUUUAGAACGUCGUGAGACAGUUCGGUCCCUAUCUGCCGUGGGCGCUGGAGAACUGAGGGGGGCUGCUCCUAGUACGAGAGGACCGGAGUGGACGCAUCACUGGUGUUCGGGUUGUCAUGCCAAUGGCACUGCCCGGUAGCUAAAUGCGGAAGAGAUAAGUGCUGAAAGCAUCUAAGCACGAAACUUGCCCCGAGAUGAGUUCUCCCUGAGACUUAGAGUCUCCUGAAGGAACGUUGAAGACGACGACGUUGAUAGGCCGGGUGUGUAAGCGCAGCGAUGCGUUGAGCUAACCGGUACUAAUGAACCGUGAGGCUUAACCUUACAACGCCGAAG
Molecule: ribosomal RNA, 709 nt
Filed under: Salmonella enterica
Lineage: Bacteria; Pseudomonadati; Pseudomonadota; Gammaproteobacteria; Enterobacterales; Enterobacteriaceae
Also listed under: 2 other names
Description: partial 23S ribosomal RNA
Rfam family: Bacterial large subunit ribosomal RNA
Source: RNAcentral